CGCCUGUUUAUCAAAAACAUCGCCUUUGGGAAAGAUCAAAGGUCCUGCCUGCCCGGUGAUUUAUUUGAAAUUAAACGGCUGCGGUACUCUGACCGUGCAAAGGUAGCAUAAUCAUUAGCCUGUUAAUUUCAGGCUGGAAUCAAUGGCAAGACGAAGAAAAAGCUGUCUCUUUAUAUUAUGUUAGAAUUUUUCGUUUUGGUUAAGAGACCAAAAUAGUUAAGUGGGACGAGAAGACCCUAUUGAGCUUUAAUUCUUUAAUAGAUUAUCAGUUUUAAUGGAGAAUUUUGGUUGGGGCAACGGUUUUUUUAAUUAAACAAAAAAGUAAAGGAUGAAUUGAUUCUUAGUUUGACCUAAUUAAUAUAUUUUAGAAAAUAGAAAAAGUUACCAUAGGGAUAACAGCGUAAUUCUUUUUGAGAGUACUUAUUGACAAAGGAGUUUGCGACCUCGAUGUUGGAUCAGGUUAACCUAGAGGUGCAGCCGCUUCUAAGGGUUGGUUUGUUCAACCAUGAAAAACUUACGUGAUCUGAGUUCAGACCGG
RNAcentral lists this ribosomal RNA (538 nucleotides) under Asteroschema sp. 1 TMS-2012. Its description in RNAcentral is "partial 16S large subunit ribosomal RNA". It matches the Rfam family "Bacterial large subunit ribosomal RNA", at positions 1797 to 2619 of the family's 2925-position model. The record is from RNAcentral. Lineage: Eukaryota; Metazoa; Echinodermata; Ophiuroidea; Euryalida; Asteroschematidae.